RNAcentral lists this microRNA (20 nucleotides) under Anolis carolinensis (green anole). RNAcentral describes it as "aca-miR-454-5p". Its record names the gene aca-miR-454-5p. Lineage: Eukaryota; Metazoa; Chordata; Lepidosauria; Squamata; Anolidae. The record is from miRBase by way of RNAcentral.
GUGAGAACUCUGAGGAUAAG